RNAcentral lists this ribosomal RNA (423 nucleotides) under uncultured Lactobacillus sp. RNAcentral describes it as "bacterial SSU rRNA". It matches the Rfam family "Bacterial small subunit ribosomal RNA", at positions 124 to 526 of the family's 1533-position model. The record is from RNAcentral. Lineage: Bacteria; Bacillati; Bacillota; Bacilli; Lactobacillales; Lactobacillaceae.
ACCUGCCCCCAUAGUCUGGGGAUACCACUUGGGAAACAGGUGCUAAUACCGGAUAAGAAAGCAGAUCGCAUGAUCAGCUUUUAAAAGGCGGCGUAAAGCUGUCGCUAUGGGGAUGGCCCCCGCGGUGCAUUAGCUAGUUGGUAAGGUAAAGGCUUACCAAGGCGAUGAUGCAUAGCCGAGUUGAGAGACUGAUCGGCCACAUUGGGACUGAGACACGGCCCAAACUCCUACGGGAGGCAGCAGUAGGGAAUCUUCCACAAUGGACGCAAGUCUGAUGGAGCAACGCCGCGUGAGUGAAGAAGGUUUUCGGAUCGUAAAAGCUCUGUUGUUGGUGAAGAAGGAUAGAGGUAGUAACUGGCCUUUAUUUGACGGUAAUCAACCAGAAAGUCACGGCUAACUACGUGCCAGCAGCCGCGGGUAAAU